AAGAGAACUGUCUCAUUGUAAGAAGGCCCAAGAGUAAGCCAUGUGAAGAAAAUAACACAACAAGUUAUAUUUACAACACACUUAAAAAUUAAAUCGAAAAAAAAGGUAAAAUCGGGAUUUGCACGGAUGGAAAUUGAGGGACACACAAAACCUAAAUGAUAUGCUCAAAGCCGGUUUUCACAUAUUGACAACAAAUGGAAAUGUCAUAUGUGAUUAGUCAAAACGUGGCGAAAUACUAUCACUAUAUCGAUAAAAAUAAUCAUGGAUAAAUAACAAGAAAAAUGUCAAAUCCAUAAAUUAAAAAAUCGAUGUUUAAAUGAUAAAUCAAGGAAAAACAUUAAAAUCAACAAGUGUUUUGAAAAUGAGAAUAAUAAAAUAAAAUAAAAAGGAGUAAAAAAUAAAAAUAAAAAUAAAUAAAAAUAAAAAAAGAAAAGUAAGAAAUGUGGUACAAGGGUAUCGAACCCGUACCCUAAGGCAUGCCAAACAACACCCUUACCAACCCAACCAACUUUGGUUGUUGAUAUUAACUUGUGUUCAUUAAUACAUAAAUUUAAAACAUGCGUUGUAUUGGUUAAAAGAAAAAACAAGUUAACAAACUGGAAGCAA
This 606-nucleotide long non-coding RNA is filed under the name Lathyrus oleraceus (garden pea). RNAcentral describes it as "Pisum sativum (pea) long non-coding RNA (PSAT_LNC016323)". The record is from RNAcentral. Lineage: Eukaryota; Viridiplantae; Streptophyta; Magnoliopsida; Fabales; Fabaceae.